RNAcentral lists this long non-coding RNA (209 nucleotides) under Elaeis guineensis (African oil palm). Its description in RNAcentral is "long non-coding RNA (EGUI_LNC067071)". The record is from RNAcentral. Lineage: Eukaryota; Viridiplantae; Streptophyta; Magnoliopsida; Arecales; Arecaceae.
CCACCUCAGAGGCCAUUCUCGAGAGGAUGCCAAGGACUUGGGGGAAGGCAAGGAGGAGAACAGCGGUCUGCGAGUUCUCCGAUCAUCGAGCGGCUGCUGCAGGUCCCUGUCGCUUCAAAGGGGGCUUGGGGAAGAAUUCCUUCAACAACAGGGGUUUAAUAACGGGGACCGCCGGUAAAGACGUUCUGCCUGAGAAUUUUGGAGUAGCA